Molecule: long non-coding RNA, 1130 nt
Organism: Oncorhynchus tshawytscha (Chinook salmon)
Lineage: Eukaryota; Metazoa; Chordata; Actinopteri; Salmoniformes; Salmonidae
Exons: 4
Source: RefSeq, a predicted model, not a curated record
UUAACGUUUCUUUGAACGUUGUCACCAACCUAAUAUUGAACGAGUCAAUUUGUGAUUUUAUCUGUCUGUGUCUCUCUCAUUUCAGAACGGCGGCAUGAUCAAAAACACGUUAUAUCUUUCCCUUCCGUUGAUUGGUUGACAUGAGAUGAUAUUGGAUUUGUGCUCAUUUAUUAAUUAACAGGUGACACCAGCGCGCCUACCUUUAUAAAUCAAUCCCCUACUGUCUCGUUAAAAGGAAUCAGUUCUGGCUAUUGAUUCCAAGGAAGACUAGGUCACAGUUGAGCAGCAGGUGACCAAUGUUUAUAACUGCUUCAUUUAUGGAAUGCUUUGGGGAAAAAAACCUUCCUCAUCCUUUGAGUUUGUCAAGCAAUUUGGUUUAUGCAAGUUAAUUUUUUAUCUACCUUUACCCCUUAUUUCUCUGCCAUUUUAAAACCUACUAUGUAAAGGCAGUAUAUGUAACCUGGAAUUGGCAUGUGUUUUAAACGGAGUCGAUGUGAAUAUGACGACGAAGAGCCGACUAGACCAUUUGAGAUGCUACCCCGUGUGGUUCAUACUAGGCCUACACCCUUUGAGUAAAAGGGUCCUUUUUUUUUCUUCAGACCGAUUCCUCAAAAGGGGUCGUGGGCUGGUUGGUAAUCAUCUUGUCCUGCUGCUGUGGAAAGUCCCGGUCUUUAUCAGCAACAACAUAGUGACGGCUCAGAUCUUCUGGGAGAGGCUGUGGAUGAUACUGUGACGUGCAGAGUACUGGACAGAUGCAAGGAACAAGCACAUUUUCUGAAGACUAUUUCUGACUGGUGUUUCAUUGACUUUUAAAGAUGGUGUAUGACUCCAUGUUGACUCUCCCCAGAGACCUGCAGAACCAUCAUCUCCAUCUUGGUCUCCAUGGUCGCCAGCAUCGCCAGGAUGGGGAAUGUGCAACAGCUGCUCGGCGCGAGGGUUCCGGAACCAAGGCCCAGGUUGCCACGGCAGCUGGGGUUCUGUUCCUGAUUUGCCAGGGUGCUGAGUCUGGUGUCUCUCAGCUGGACAGCUCCGUGUCAUCACUGACUUCUAUAAUCCUCUGGAACACCAAGGCUUAAAGAGCAGGGUGCGGCCAUCUUUAUCUGGUGGGGGAGCUCUCAUGGCCAGGUACG